This 341-nucleotide ribosomal RNA is filed under the name uncultured eukaryote. RNAcentral describes it as "bacterial SSU rRNA". It matches the Rfam family "Eukaryotic small subunit ribosomal RNA", at positions 592 to 941 of the family's 1831-position model. The record is from RNAcentral.
CAAUAGCGUAUAUUAAAGUUGUUGCAGUUAAAAGCUCGUAGUUGGAUUUCUGGCCGAGUGUCCCUAGGCCAGCAUGACGUUUGGUCCUAGGCGCUCUGCCAUCCUUCUGUCAACCUUCGCCUUCUUCAUUGGGCGGCUGGGCUCAGAUAUUUUGACCUUGAGAAAAUUAUGAGUGUUUCAGGCAGGCUUUCGCCGGAAUACAUUAGCAUGGAAUAAUAAUCUAGGACUUCGGUUCUAUUUUGUUGGUUUCUAGUACUGAAGUAAUGAUUGAUAGGGAUAGUUGGGGGUGGCUAGUAUUGACCGGCCCAGAGUGAAAUUCUUGGAUUCGGUCAAGACUAACU